GUGGGGAAUAUUGGACAAUGGGGGGAACCCUGAUCCAGCCAUGCCGCGUGUGUGAAGAAGGCCUUUUGGUUGUAAAGCACUUUAAGCGAGGAGGAGGCUACCGAGAUUAAUACUCUUGGAUAGUGGAUGUUACUCGCAGAAUAAGCACCGGCUAACUCUGUGCCAGCAGCCGCGGUAAUACAGAGGGUGCAAGCGUUAAUCGGAUUUACUGGGCGUAAAGCGCGCGUAGGUGGCCAAUUAAGUCAAAUGUGAAAUCCCCGAGCUUAACUUGGGAAUUGCAUUCGAUACUGGUUGGCUAGAGUAUGGGAGAGGAUGGUAGAAUUCCAGGUGUAGCGGUGAAAUGCGUAGAGAUCUGGAGGAAUACCGAUGGCGAAGGCAGCCAUCUGGCCUAAUACUGACACUGAGGUGCGAAAGCAUGGGGAGCAAACAGGAUUAGAAACCCCAGUAGUCC
RNAcentral lists this ribosomal RNA (451 nucleotides) under uncultured bacterium. RNAcentral's name for it is "partial 16S ribosomal RNA". It matches the Rfam family "Bacterial small subunit ribosomal RNA", at positions 354 to 796 of the family's 1533-position model. The record is from RNAcentral.